This 354-nucleotide long non-coding RNA is filed under the name Monodelphis domestica (gray short-tailed opossum). Its description in RNAcentral is "lncRNA (ENSMODG00000040092.1)". The record is from RNAcentral. Lineage: Eukaryota; Metazoa; Chordata; Mammalia; Didelphimorphia; Didelphidae.
UUUCCUUGUGUCCACGCUCACUCUGAAGUCACUCUGAAGAUACUCACAGAACAGGAAAUAAUCUGUAUCACAAAGCCUACACAACCAUGGUCCUUUCCCAACUCCAGGACAGAGACUGGUAUACAGAAAGUCAAAGCUGGUGACAGUUCUCCUGAUUUUAAGUGCCAUAGAAGAAAUUCAACUGAAAAAGAAAUUUUCCUAUUCUGAUGCUAGAAUGUACCUCAGCGAUGAUCUACUGGGUUUUUAAACUUUUUAUAUCAUGGACCUUUUUUGAAGUCUGCUGAAACCUAAGAACUGCUCUUUAGAAUAUUGUAUUUAACACAAAAUAAAGUAUAUAAGAUUUGAAGGAAACCA